AGGUGGGUCUGCAGGCUCAGAGCUGUGCUGGGAGGGGUUGACCUGCAGAGACACACAGAGACAGAGACACACAGAGACAAACACAAAAGAGACACAGAGACAGACAAUAAGAGAGAGACAGAAACACAUAGAGAGAUACAGAGACACACAGAGACAGAGAGAGACACAGAGACAGACAAUAAGAGAGAGACAGAGGCACAGACACACAGAGACAGAGACAAACGGAGACAGAGACGGACAGAGACACAGAGAGAGACAGAGACAUACAGAGAGACA
Long non-coding RNA from Etheostoma spectabile (orangethroat darter), 276 nucleotides. RefSeq lists it as uncharacterized. The record is from RefSeq and is a predicted model, not a curated record. The transcript is spliced from 3 exons. Lineage: Eukaryota; Metazoa; Chordata; Actinopteri; Perciformes; Percidae.